Molecule: ribosomal RNA, 478 nt
Filed under: uncultured bacterium
Lineage: Bacteria
Description: partial 16S ribosomal RNA
Rfam family: Bacterial small subunit ribosomal RNA
Source: RNAcentral
GAUGAACGCUGGCGGCGUGCUUAACACAUGCAAGUCGAACGAGAAGUGAAGACGGAUCCCUUCGGGCGGAAGGCUUUAUUUCGAGUGGCGGACGGGUGAGUAACGCGUGGGUAACCUGCCUCAUACAGGGGGAUAACAGUUGGAAACGACUGUUAAUACCGCAUAAGACCACAGCACCGCAUGGUGCGGGGGUAAAAACUCCGGUGGUAUGAGAUGGACCCGCGUUCGAUUAGCCAGUUGGCGGGGUAACGGCCCACCAAAGCGACGAUCGAUAGCCGAUCUGAGAGGAUGACCGGCCACAUUGGGACUGAGACACGGCCCAAACUCCUACGGGAGGCAGCAGUGGGGAAUAUUGCACAAUGGGGGAAACCCUGAUGCAGCGACGCCGCGUGAGUGAAGAAGUAUUUCGGUAUGUAAAGCUCUAUCAGCAGGGAAGAAAAUGACGGUACCUGAGUAAGAAGCCCCGGCUAACUACGUG